This 495-nucleotide ribosomal RNA is filed under the name uncultured bacterium. Its description in RNAcentral is "partial 16S ribosomal RNA". It matches the Rfam family "Bacterial small subunit ribosomal RNA", at positions 28 to 505 of the family's 1533-position model. The record is from RNAcentral.
GAUGAACGCUGGCGGCGUGCCUAAUACAUGCAAGUCGAGCGAACGGACGAGAAGCUUGCUUCUCUGAUGUUAGCGGCGGACGGGUGAGUAACACGUGGAUAACCUACCUAUAAGACUGGGAUAACUUCGGGAAACCGGAGCUAAUACCGGAUAAUAUUUUGAACCGCAUGGUUCAAAAGUGAAAGACGGUCUUGCUGUCACUUAUAGAUGGAUCCGCGCUGCAUUAGCUAGUUGGUAAGGUAACGGCUUACCAAGGCAACGAUGCAUAGCCGACCUGAGAGGGUGAUCGGCCACACUGGAACUGAGACACGGUCCAGACUCCUACGGGAGGCAGCAGUAGGGAAUCUUCCGCAAUGGGCGAAAGCCUGACGGAGCAACGCCGCGUGAGUGAUGAAGGUCCUCGGAUCGUAAAACUCUGUUAUUAGGGAAGAACAUAUGUGUAAGUAACUGUGCACAUCUUGACGGUACCUAAUCAGAAAGCCACGGCUAACUACG